Molecule: ribosomal RNA, 120 nt
Filed under: Xenopus laevis (African clawed frog)
Lineage: Eukaryota; Metazoa; Chordata; Amphibia; Anura; Pipidae
Source: RNAcentral
GCCUACGGCCACACCACCCUGAAAGUGCCCGAUCUCGUCUGAUCUCGGAAGCGAUCCAGGGCCGGGCCUGGUUAGUACCUGGAUGGGAGACCGCCUGGGAAUACCGGGUGUCGUAGGCUU